This 72-nucleotide transfer RNA is filed under the name Ornithorhynchus anatinus (platypus). It matches the Rfam family "tRNA". Rfam says of the family: Transfer RNA (tRNA) molecules are approximately 80 nucleotides in length. Their secondary structure includes four short double-helical elements and three loops (D, anti-codon, and T loops). Further hydrogen bonds mediate the characteristic L-shaped molecular structure. tRNAs have two regions of fundamental functional importance: the anti-codon, which is responsible for specific mRNA codon recognition, and the 3' end, to which the tRNAs corresponding amino acid is attached (by aminoacyl-tRNA synthetases). tRNAs cope with the degeneracy of the genetic code in two manners: having more than one tRNA (with a specific anti-codon) for a particular amino acid; and 'wobble' base-pairing, i.e. permitting non-standard base-pairing at the 3rd anti-codon position. The record is from Rfam by way of RNAcentral. Lineage: Eukaryota; Metazoa; Chordata; Mammalia; Monotremata; Ornithorhynchidae.
AGCAGUGUGGCUCAGUGGAAAGAGCACGGGCUUGGGAGUCAGAGGUCAUGGGUUCGAAUCCCAGCUCUCCCA